This 496-nucleotide unclassified non-coding RNA is filed under the name Diaporthe ampelina. RNAcentral describes it as "partial contains ITS1, 5.8S rRNA and ITS2". The stretch from base 179 to 332 matches the Rfam family "5.8S ribosomal RNA". Lineage: Eukaryota; Fungi; Ascomycota; Sordariomycetes; Diaporthales; Diaporthaceae. The record is from RNAcentral.
CUGGAACGCGCCCCUGGCGCACCCAGAAACCCUUUGUGAACUCAUACCUUACCGUUGCCUCGGCGCAGGCCGGCCCCCCCUGGGGGGCCCCUCGGAGACGAGGAGCAGGCCCGCCGGCGGCCAAGUUAACUCUUGUUUUUACACUGAAACUCUGAGAAACAAAACACAAAUGAAUCAAAACUUUCAACAACGGAUCUCUUGGUUCUGGCAUCGAUGAAGAACGCAGCGAAAUGCGAUAAGUAAUGUGAAUUGCAGAAUUCAGUGAAUCAUCGAAUCUUUGAACGCACAUUGCGCCCUCUGGUAUUCCGGAGGGCAUGCCUGUUCGAGCGUCAUUUCAACCCUCAAGCCUGGCUUGGUGAUGGGGCACUGCUCCCCCCCGGGGAGCAGGCCCUGAAAUCCAGUGGCGAGCUCGCCAGGACCCCGAGCGCAGUAGUUAAACCCUCGCUCCGGGAGGCCCUGGCGGUGCCCUGCCGUUAAACCCCCAACUUCUGAAAGU